UCCGAAAAUCUGACCGUUGAAGGUGUCACUCAUAUGAAUAUAGGCUUCACGGACCGAAGAGAGCAAAGAAGCGUACAUUAUUAUAGCCCAGUUAUACUUUUUAGGUUUUUCUCCAAUCUCUCUCUCUCUCUCUGCAUUCAGCUAGGAAUACGGUUUUCAGGGAAAUUUUGGGGAAAAAGGAAAAAGAAAGCUUUUUUCUGCUUGUAACUUCUAGUGAAGUCAGAGAGAUCCAGAAGGAGACACAAGGAGUAGGCUUAGGCUUAUGAGGUUCUGAAUGAUCCUGAGAAACGUGAAUCUAUGACCCAUAAGGUGAGGACGCACUUAAGGAAUGGGUGGUGGCGGUAGAGCCCAUGGCCCAUUUGACAUCUUCGAAUCUUUCUGCAGCGGCAGUGCUUUUGGAGGUUAGAAGCAGAGGAGGACCGAGGUAGAGGAGUGGGGAUGAUGUGGUGCACCCUCUAAAGUUUUCACUGGAAGACGUUUACUUUGGAACCUCGAAUAGUUCUCACUUUCCUGGAAUGUGAUUUGCUCCUAGUGUGAUGGGAAUGCCUUCUUCCUGUUCCCAAGGAAAGUCCUUUGGAAAUCUGAUAUUAGAGAACCACGGACUAAGGAUGACGGCAUGGAUUUAAGCUCUUAUCACUUGGCCGAUGCCGAUAUAAUUCUCUGCAUGCAUUUUGGUUCAGAAGUUGGUGGUGUUCCUGGAGUAGAGAAGAAUAUGGAUGUAUAGAAGAGCAUACAAGUGCAUCCUUUUGCCCCUUCCGUACAUGACAGCGUGACCGAAGGGUUCCAACAUUGGUGAUAAUGGUGAUGAUGGCUAAUUCCUAGUUGAAGAAUUAAAUUUAAGCAGUAGUCUAAUCUUGUAUUUAUUAUAGAUUUUUUGUGUUUAUGGUUGUGUAAAGAUGAACCAACAGUAAUAAGGAUGGAUGGAUGGAUGGCUAUGUUGGUUUGGGAGAGAAGAGAUUGCUCGCGUAUUGCCUGGGACUCUGCCUCCUUUGUGUGGGUGUGUUGGUGUCUCUGCUUUCUUUUUCUCCCCUGCAUUCCCUUUCUUUGUUCGCUCUUCAAUUUAUUUUUCUCUUUCUUUCCUUCUUU
Molecule: long non-coding RNA, 1086 nt
Organism: Ziziphus jujuba (common jujube)
Lineage: Eukaryota; Viridiplantae; Streptophyta; Magnoliopsida; Rosales; Rhamnaceae
Exons: 9
Source: RefSeq, a predicted model, not a curated record